GCCACGGUGGUCUAGUGGUUAGAAUGCUGGCCUUGUAAUCCUGGGGUCUCGGGUCCGAUUCCCGGCGGUGCCC
Molecule: non-coding RNA, 73 nt
Organism: Zootermopsis nevadensis
Lineage: Eukaryota; Metazoa; Arthropoda; Insecta; Blattodea; Termopsidae
Source: Rfam